AUUAAAUUUACACUGAUUUAAAGGUUUUUGGUUGUUUAAAAAAAAAAUUCAACAAACUAAACUUGAAAUAACUUUACUGUUUAUAGGGAACAUUAUUACAGCAGCCAGAGGAUCAUGCAGCUACUACAUCACUUUCUUGGAAACGUGUAAAAGGAUGCAAAUCUAGUGAACAGAAUGGAAUGGAGCAAAAGACAAUUAUUUUAAUACCUUCUGAUUUAGCAUGUAGACUGCUGGGGCAAUCAAUGGAUGAAAGUGGAUUACCACAGCUGACCAGUUAUGAUUGUGAAGUUAAUGCUCCUAUACAAGGCAGCAGAAACCUACUGCAGGGUGAAGAAUUACUCAGAGCUUUGGAUCAAGUUAACUGAGCUUUUUCAUAAUUUCAUUCCUUUUUUUGGACACUGGUGGCUCAUUACCUAAAGCAGUCUAUUUAUAUUUUCUACAUCUAAUUUUAGAAGCCUGGCUACAAUACUGCACAAACUUGGUUAGUUCAAUUUUGAUCCCCUUUCUACUUAAUUUACAUUAAUGCUCUUUUUUAGUAUGUUCUUUAAUGCUGGAUCACAGACAGCUCAUUUUCUCAGUUUUUUAGUAUUUAAACCAUUGCAUUGCAGUAGUAUCAUUUUUAAAAAUGCACCUUUUUAUUUAUUUAUUUUUGGCUAGGGAGUUUAUCCCUUUUUCGAAUUAUUUUUAAGAAGAUGCCAAUAUAAUUUUUGUAAGAAGGCAGUAACCUUUCAUCAUGAUCAUAAGCAGUUGAA
Molecule: small RNA, 752 nt
Filed under: Pongo abelii (Sumatran orangutan)
Lineage: Eukaryota; Metazoa; Chordata; Mammalia; Primates; Hominidae
Description: retained intron
Source: RNAcentral